Long non-coding RNA from Callithrix jacchus (white-tufted-ear marmoset), 5372 nucleotides. NCBI's taxonomy places the organism in Eukaryota, Metazoa, Chordata, Mammalia, Primates, Cebidae. The record is from Ensembl.
AUGAAAUCUGAGUUUCACUUAAUCCUCAGAACCACGAUUGAGGCGCUUGUUCCUACUCCCAUUUUAAGACGCGGGCUGCAGAGAGGGCAAGCACCCUCUCCACACAGAGCGAACACGACGGGUAGGGCUCAAGUCCAGGAGGUUCCCAAGCCCCCGUGCCGUUGGUGCCACGCGGUGCUCCCACCCAGCCCACUCCGCGGGAGAAAAACUACAGGCCUCGGAGGAGGAGCCGCUCCUCGCAGUUGGGUGGGGCAGAGGCCGGCGCGAGGCCUUGCUCGCUGGAGGAUUUCCGCAGGCCUGAAACAGGCAGGACCGGAGCCCAGCAGGCGGGCCCGGGCCUGCGCAUUCAGAACCCCCGACGAGCGACCGCUAAGCGGGUGGGCGCGCACCGCGGGGCCGGAGGGAAAGGCCCAGACCCUGCGGGGAAGGCCACGCCCCGAGUGGGAGCGCUUCCUUCCAGAUCCCGGCCUCUCGCUGCAAUUCGUUUUAAGGGCAGCCCUGCCCGGUUCACACCUAGCCUUGAAGAUGACGGAUUGCACGGAUGUUAAGGAUGGCAAGAGAGUUCAACAGUGUGAAAACAGCUCACAGAUCACAGAAAUAAAGCAUUGCAUGGGCCUAAAAGGAUGAGCAGCUGUCUUCGCAAAAGCAGUUUCUGGAGAGAAGUAACAGACAGUCUUGCCCUGUGGUCCAGACCGGAGUGCAAUGGCAUGAUUGCAGAUCACUACAGCAUUGAACUCCUGGCCUCAAGCGAACCUCACGUCUCACCUCACAAAGCACUGGGAUUACAAGUGUGAGCCACUGUGCCUGGCCUUACCUAUGUACCUCUAUGUUGUCUAUGUGGUGAACAUGUUUGUAUUCAGUCAAUAUUCGUUGAGUGUCUACCAUGUGUGUAGCAUUUUGCUAAAUUAGGGGCUCCCAUCAGUUGUUCAUUAUCAAAUAAUUUAAAGAAACUCACUUUCUGCCUCGUCUGGGAACUUAUUCAUGCUUUAAGAAGCAGCUCACACUAGCUUCUCUUGAAGGCCUACCUGAACACAUCAGUCAGACAUUCAUCAGCCUCUGUUGUAAGUUUCUGUCUGUAAUACAUCUAUCAUAGCCUAACCCAUGGACCAUGUUUAUUUGUUAAUAUGCUUGUCCCUUUCUGCUAGACUGUGAGACUAUGAAUUUCAUGCCAUCAAAGGUUCCUUGUCCGUCACCCAUCAAAUAACACGGUGAUUAUGUCAGCCUGGCUCUUAGUAGCAGUUCAUAAAGUUUACUUGGUACAUGAAUCACCGUGUACCAGCAGUUCUAGGUAAAGCAGAAAGUUCUUCUCCUUUAAAGUCACUCAAAAAUUUAAAAGGUAUUACUGAGUUCCUGCACACUUUGUGUGUAUUAUCUAAUUUAAUCUUACUGUAAUUUACUUAGCUUGGUAUUAUUUCAUUGGCCCCUUCAUUUAUAAAACUGCUCAGAGAGGUGGAGUAGCACUCCCAGUAUCACUGAACUAGUAAGGAGUGGGACAGGAGAUAAAAUCUCAUCUGCCUGACUGUGAAGCUGUGUUUAUUACACUGAGUUACUCUGACUUCCAUAUAUAAGGAUGCCGACAUCUUACUCUGUCAUUAUCUAUUUGAUUCUUUGCAUUUCUUUUUUUUCCUUUUUCAAUCGUGUUCCUUCUCUGCCUCCCUCCCUCCCUCCCUUCCUCUUCUUUUUUUGAGACAGAGUCUCCCUCUCUCACCCAGGCUGGAGUGCAGUGGCACCCUCUUGGCUCACUGCAAUCUCUACCUCCCAGCAGGGUUAAGUGAUUCUCCCUCCUCAGUCUCCUGAGUAGCUGAGAUUAUAGGUGUGCACCACCACACCCGGCUAAUUUUUGUGUAUUAGUGGAGAUGGGGUUUCGCUGUGUUGGCCAGGCUAGUCUUGAACUCCUGACCUCAGGUUAUCCACCUGCCUUGGGCUCCCAAAGUGUUGGGAUUACAGGCAUGAGUCACUGUGUCCAGUUAAACAUUUUAUUUCAACAACAUAUAAUAUUGUAGCGAUCUCCCAGCCACCAAAUUAAUUACAAAAAUAUGAACUUUUCUGGAUCUGGGUAUACAUGCCACCUGCUAGUAUUUGGUUGGAGAGAAAAUUUCUCAGCAUCUUUCCAUAUGGUGGUAAUGAAUACACUCAGCAUCCACAGGUUUUUAGGCAUCCUGAGGAGGAGAGCCCACCCAGGGUUGAAAAUGUCCUUAGAGCUUGAGAGUUUGGGCUCAGGAGAGUCUAGGAAAAUGCCCAAGGGCUACAUGUAUGUGACAGCCAGGCAGAUCUCUGAGAGUGUUUAUUCCGAUAAACCUUAACCCUGAAAGCUCUGAGGUAAGUUCUCAGUGUCUCAACAGAAAGAAAUAUGCAGCCUGGGAGAUAAACAGGGAAGAUAUUAACCCAGGAAGAUCGUGAGCUCCCCUUUGGAUUAAAUGUUCCUCCAAGGCAAAGACAAAGUCCCUUACAUCAAAUGAUGUGGUAUUUGCAUAUAACCUGUGCUCACACUCUCACAGACAUGAAAUAAUCUCUAGAUUAAGCGUAAUAUCUAAUACAAUGUAAAUGCUAUGCAAGUAAUUGUUAUACUUUAGUGUUUUUAAAGUUUGUAUUAUUUUUUGUUACAUUCUUGCUUUUUAUUUUUUUAAGUAUUUUCCAUCUAUAGUUGGUUAAAUCUGUGGAUGCAAAACCAGUGGAUAUGGAGGGCUAAUUAUAUUGACAUAAAAAAUCGAUUACUCUAGAUUUUAAAAUUAAGGUAUAGAUUAUGCCCAGCAAGGAUGACACAAAGGAGAAGCUCUGGAACUCAGAAUACUUGCAUAAACAUUUGCAUAAAAUCAUUUUUAAAGAGGCUCUAACAGCAUAGAGGAAAAAGCAGCAUGGCUUUAUGAAUAGCGAAACGGCAGGGCAUACACUCUGUAGAAUAGCUCCAGAUGGUGAGAGCACAAGGCUACAUCUUCUAUUACCACAACUUCACCAACAGCUAAACUGGUAACCUUGUAGUAAAGGGCUGCCAGCAACACACUGCAAACCGACAAAAGCCCCAUAGCACACUGAACCGCUGGAUUGUAUCAUGCUCUGCAGGUAGAGCAGGAAAAUCCCACUUACCAUGUCAUCCUACACAUGUGCUAUCCCACGUGUGUGAAGCUCAGCCUACAUGUAGCCUGAGAUUCCACAGCUCAAAUCAAAGUGAACAGGGCAUAUGUCUGAAGGCAGGAAAGCAAAAUACAAAGACAGCCACAAUUUCUGACAAACUAGCCAUAAAAAGGUCAUUUUUCUUAUCAAACCAAUUAAUCUGUUUAGCUCAACGGAUUCUUUGAGACGGUAAAACUGCGCAAGUACUGAGGAAAGGAUCAGCUUUCCUUUGAAAAUUGAGAAUGCUAAGAUUAUUGCAGAUAUAUGACAUUCAUGUUGAAAUGUUUUUUUGUUUCAAAAGCUAUACAUGGUAAUUGCAGAAAUAACUAGAAAAUAAAGACAAUAGCUUUUAAGAAAUGCCAAUAUUUCUUCCCUUAAAAGAUAACUUUUAACAUUGUGGUGAAUAUAUUGUGGGCCCACAACAAUGGGUUGAUGCUGUGAAUAUUGUUUUAUACUUUUUUUUCACUUAUAAAGAUAUUGUGAACAAUUCUCCAUGAUAAUAUGUAUUUUAAAAUUAAUUAAAAUAAAUCACAUACAUAAAAGUAUACCUACUGUAUCAUAUCAAGGCAUAAUUUAACAUUUUAAAUGUAUAGUAUUUAAUUUCUGGAAAUAUAUAAUAAUUUAUUUAGCUAAUUUAUUUAUUUAUUUAUUUUUUGAGAUGGAGUCUCACUGUCACCCAGGAUAGAGUGCAGUGGUGUGAUUUUGGCUCACUGCAACCUCUGCCUCAUGGGUUCCAGCGAUUCUCCAGCUUGAGCCUCCCAAGUAGCUGGGACUACAGGCAUGGAGGUUUCAUCACGUUGACCAGGCUGAUCUAGAACCCUUGACCUCAGGUGAUCUGCCUGUCCCAGAGUGUUUUGUUUUUAGAAAUACAAGAUUUCCCUACAUCUCCCCUCACUAUUAUUAAAAAAUGCAAAAGAAUAUCAAUGGACAGACUGUACGUCUUUGCUCGUAUCCCUAACUUAUGUCCUUAGGAUUACUAUUAGAAUUGGAAUUACUGGUUCAAUGAGAUGGAUUUUCUAAAGGUUUGCCAACAGCUUUCUGGAAUAAUCAUGACUGGGUAUACUCCUACCCUCAGUGCGCAAGAUUAUAUGAAGAAAGGGAUGUUGUGUCAUUUAGGAGUUGCAAAGAGUUUUCUUUCUCCGGAAAGCAUGUGCAUUUCUUUAAGCAUGAAUUGCCUGAAUAAGUCUCUUGGCUUUUUAAAAAAUUUUUUUCUACUGGGAUGUCUUUGCGUUGCUAUAAAGGAAUACCUGACGCUGGGUAAUUCAAAAAGAAAAGAGGCUCACGCCUGUAAUCCCAGCACUUUGGAAGGCUGAGGCGGGCGGAUCACAAGGUCAAUAGAUCAAGACCAGCCUGGCCAACAUGGUGAAACCCCGUCUCUACUAAAAAUACAAAAAUUAGCUGAGCAUGGUGGCGUGCCCCUGUAAUUCAGGAGGCUGAGGCAGGAGGAUCGCUUGAACCUGGGAGGCGGAGGUUGCAGUGAGCCGAGAUCGCACCACUGCACUGCAGUAUGGCUACAGAGCAGGACUCCAUCUCAAAACAAACAAAUACAUAAAAGAAAAGAAGCUUAUUUGGCUUAGGUUCUGUGGGUUGUACAUAAAGGGUAGCACCAGCAUUUGCUUCUGUUAGGGCCUCAGGCUGCUUCCACUCAUAGCCGAAGGGAAAGGGGAGCUGGAGUGUGCAGAUGUCACAUGACAAGAGCAGAAGCAAGAGAGAGCAGAGGGAGGUGCCAGGCUCUUUUUACCAACCAGUUCUGGGUGGAACUAAUAGGGUGAGAGUUCAUUUCUGUGAGGACAGCUCCAGGACAUUUAUGAGGAAUCUGCCCCUUUGACCCAAGCACUUCCCACGGGGCGCUACCACCAACACUGGGGAUCACAUUUCAGCAUGAGAUGUGGUGGGGCCAAGCGAACCGCGAACCGUGUCUAAACCACAGCAUGGGUUAUACGCUUUUUCUUUUCAAUUAUGCUAUCUUCUUACAUAAUAAUGAAUACAUCAUUUAUCUGAUGUAUGUGAAGGAAUUUUUCCUAUUCUGUCAUUUGCCUUUGAAAUGUUUAUGUAUAUUUUUGUGUGUGCAGUUAAUCCUCAUUAUUCAUGGAUUCUGUAUUUGCAAAUUUGCUCACCAAAAUUUAUUUCUCCUUUUUUUUUUUUUUAAAUUUUUUAUUGGAUUUUAGGUUUUGGGGUACAUGAGCAAAGCAUGCAAGACAGUUGCGUAGGUACACACAUGGCAGUGUGCUUUCUUUUCUUCUCCCCUUCACCCACAUUUG